RNAcentral lists this microRNA (22 nucleotides) under Ophiophagus hannah (king cobra). RNAcentral describes it as "oha-miR-199b-3p". Its record names the gene oha-miR-199b-3p. Lineage: Eukaryota; Metazoa; Chordata; Lepidosauria; Squamata; Elapidae. The record is from miRBase by way of RNAcentral.
ACAGUAGUUUGCACAUUGAUUA